UCCAACAGAGCAGGUCUCCUUUGGACUCCUUGGGAAUGGAUUUUUACCACAGAGAAGAAAUGAGUAGAGAGCUCAAGCUGGCUUUUCUCCUUCUGUGGAGACUUGUACUUGCUCCAGGGCUGCUCAUGGACCCCAGGUACUGUAUAUGACAGAAGAUUUGGGAAUUUUCAAG
Non-coding RNA from Cyanistes caeruleus (blue tit), 172 nucleotides. The record is from RefSeq and is a predicted model, not a curated record. NCBI's taxonomy places the organism in Eukaryota, Metazoa, Chordata, Aves, Passeriformes, Paridae.